GUCCCCUUCGUCUAGUGGUCUAGGACACUGCCCUUUCACGGCGGCAACAGGGGUUCGACUCCCCUAGGGGACACCA
RNAcentral lists this transfer RNA (76 nucleotides) under Candidatus Endonucleibacter sp. (ex Gigantidas childressi). Its description in RNAcentral is "tRNA-Glu". It matches the Rfam family "tRNA". From Rfam's summary of the family: Transfer RNA (tRNA) molecules are approximately 80 nucleotides in length. Their secondary structure includes four short double-helical elements and three loops (D, anti-codon, and T loops). Further hydrogen bonds mediate the characteristic L-shaped molecular structure. tRNAs have two regions of fundamental functional importance: the anti-codon, which is responsible for specific mRNA codon recognition, and the 3' end, to which the tRNAs corresponding amino acid is attached (by aminoacyl-tRNA synthetases). tRNAs cope with the degeneracy of the genetic code in two manners: having more than one tRNA (with a specific anti-codon) for a particular amino acid; and 'wobble' base-pairing, i.e. permitting non-standard base-pairing at the 3rd anti-codon position. Lineage: Bacteria; Pseudomonadati; Pseudomonadota; Gammaproteobacteria; Oceanospirillales; Endozoicomonadaceae. The record is from RNAcentral.